GAGUUUGAUCUUGGCUCAGAACGAACGCUGGCGGCAUGCCUAACACAUGCAAGUCGAACGAGAUCUUCGGAUCUAGUGGCGCACGGGUGCGUAACGCGUGGGAAUCUGCCCUUGGGUGCGGAAUAACUUCUCGAAAGGGAUGCUAAUACCGCAUAAUGUCGUAAGACCAAAGAUUUAUCGCCCAAGGAUGAGCCCGCGUAAGAUUAGCUAGUUGGUGGGGUAAAAGCCUACCAAGGCGACGAUCUUUAGCUGGUCUGAGAGGAUGAUCAGCCACACUGGGACUGAGACACGGCCCAGACUCCUACGGGAGGCAGCAGUGGGGAAUAUUGGACAAUGGGCGAAAGCCUGAUCCAGCAAUGCCGCGUGAGUGAUGAAGGCCCUAGGGUUGUAAAGCUCUUUUACCCGGGAUGAUAAUGACAGUACCGGGAGAAUAAGCUCCGGCUAACUCCGUGCCAGCAGCCGCCGCGGU
This 469-nucleotide ribosomal RNA is filed under the name uncultured microorganism. RNAcentral's name for it is "bacterial SSU rRNA". It matches the Rfam family "Bacterial small subunit ribosomal RNA", at positions 9 to 524 of the family's 1533-position model. The record is from RNAcentral.